RNAcentral lists this ribosomal RNA (398 nucleotides) under uncultured bacterium. RNAcentral's name for it is "bacterial SSU rRNA". It matches the Rfam family "Bacterial small subunit ribosomal RNA", at positions 362 to 775 of the family's 1533-position model. The record is from RNAcentral.
UAUUGGGCAAUGGGCGCAAGCCUGACCCAGCAACGCCGCGUGAAGGAAGAAGGCUUUCGGGUUGUAAACUUCUUUUAAGAGGGAAGAGUAGAAGACGGUACCUCUUGAAUAAGCCACGGCUAACUACGUGCCAGCAGCCGCGGUAAUACGUAGGUGGCAAGCGUUGUCCGGAUUUACUGGGUGUAAAGGGCGUGUAGCCGGGCCGGCAAGUCAGAUGUGAAAUCCCAAGGCUCAACCUUGGAACUGCAUUUGAAACUGUUGGUCUUGAGUAUCGGAGAGGCAGGCGGAAUUCCUAGUGUAGCGGUGAAAUGCGUAGAUAUUAGGAGGAACACCAGUGGCGAAGGCGGCCUGCUGGACGACAACUGACGGUGAGGCGCGAAAGCGUGGGGAGCAAACAG